GCAAGUAUAGUUUUAACUAAAACAUCAGACUGUGACUCUAAAAACAGAAGAUAAACCCUUCUUACCUGCU
This 70-nucleotide transfer RNA is filed under the name Colius striatus (speckled mousebird). It matches the Rfam family "tRNA". Rfam says of the family: Transfer RNA (tRNA) molecules are approximately 80 nucleotides in length. Their secondary structure includes four short double-helical elements and three loops (D, anti-codon, and T loops). Lineage: Eukaryota; Metazoa; Chordata; Aves; Coliiformes; Coliidae. The record is from Rfam by way of RNAcentral.